GCAGGAUCCAGGUGGGAUCUGGGCAGGAUCGAGGUGGGAUCUGGAGAGGUUCCAGGUGGGAUCUGAGGUGGGAUCUCAGCAGGAUCCAGGUGGGAUCUUAGGAGGUUUCAGGUGGGAUCUGAUCAGGGUCCAGGUGAGAUCUGAGGAAGAUCCAGGUGGGACCUGGGUGGGUUUCAGGUGGGAUCUGGAGAGGUUUCAGGUGGGUUUUGGGCACAAUCCAGGUGGGAUCUCAGCAGGAUCUGGGUUAGACCUUGGUGGGAUCCAGGUGGGAUUCAGGUGGGACCUGAGGAAGAUCCAGGUGGGAUCUGGAGAGGUUCCAGGUGGGAUUUGAGGUGGGAUCUCAGCAGGAUCCAGGUGGGACCUGAGGAAGAUCAGGUGGGAUUUGGAUGGGAUCGAGGUGGGAUCUGGAGAGGUUCCAGGUGGGAUCUGAGGAACAUCCAGGUGGGACCUGAGAAAGAUCCAGGUGGGAUCUGGGUGGGUUUCAGGUGGGAUCUCAGCAGGAUCCAGGUGGGAUCUCAGCAGGAUCCAGGUGGGACCUGGAGAGG
This is a non-coding RNA of Taeniopygia guttata (zebra finch), 545 nucleotides long. NCBI's taxonomy places the organism in Eukaryota, Metazoa, Chordata, Aves, Passeriformes, Estrildidae. The record is from RefSeq and is a predicted model, not a curated record.